AACUCUUGUCCCCAAUACAAUCAACUCCUAUUGUAAAUGUAUACAAAGAUGUCAGGUGAUGACAAUUGUUUAUAAUAAUAUCUUUGUGCAUUCGAAAACAGAUGGAAAGUUAAAACAUUGGAGACUGUACAAAAAUGUGUGUGAGAACUUGGGGUGCAGCGGUCCAACCAGCAUGGGCGGUUCAACUAGAACAAGCAGUCAAGAAAAGUGCAUUGAAAGGAAAACUAUGGUGUCUCAGCUGUCUCUUCCAUCGUCCACCUCCGUUAAAAAAUCUAUUGUUAAUUGAUUUUGACGAUUAAUUGCCAUAACCAACUGUUGAAUUAUCUACAUUCACCUUCUGGUUGUUCUCAU
RNAcentral lists this long non-coding RNA (351 nucleotides) under Androctonus crassicauda. Lineage: Eukaryota; Metazoa; Arthropoda; Arachnida; Scorpiones; Buthidae. The record is from RNAcentral.